AUCUGCCUUACAAGCAGAGGGUCGGGGGUUCGAUCCCCUCAGCCUCCA
RNAcentral lists this transfer RNA (48 nucleotides) under Paenibacillus polymyxa. Its description in RNAcentral is "tRNA-Ser". It matches the Rfam family "tRNA", at positions 25 to 71 of the family's 71-position model. Rfam says of the family: Transfer RNA (tRNA) molecules are approximately 80 nucleotides in length. Their secondary structure includes four short double-helical elements and three loops (D, anti-codon, and T loops). The record is from RNAcentral. Lineage: Bacteria; Bacillati; Bacillota; Bacilli; Caryophanales; Paenibacillaceae.